Molecule: long non-coding RNA, 769 nt
Organism: Fukomys damarensis (Damara mole-rat)
Lineage: Eukaryota; Metazoa; Chordata; Mammalia; Rodentia; Bathyergidae
Exons: 5
Source: RefSeq, a predicted model, not a curated record
UCAUAGAGCAUGCGCAGGAGGACUGAGGUCUUACUUCACACAGGCCGAAAUCUGGUACCUCCAGGGGUCAGGCUCCCUGAGUCUCCUCUGGUAACUCCUGCUCCCACCUGGCAGCCCACUGCAUCCCACCACAGCCACACCAGCAGCUGUGCCCCUGAGAAAACACCUGAGCCAAGGUACGAAGAAGACCCAGACUGGGAGGACACCUGGCAGCAGUUUCUGAGCAGGACAAGAAACUGAUUUGCUGACUGCAGGAGAGUAAACUCGGCAGGCCCACUGCAAGGGUUCAUGACUCAAUCCUGAUCGAGUUAAAGAGAUCAGGGCCAGAAUUCUGAUUUGAGCAGCUGUUUAUGAAUUUUGAUUCAAAGGAGAUUUCAAACAUAAAGUUGCUCUACAGUGAUGACAGAGAAAGUACUGUUAUGAAGAUUUGGAAGCCUUGGCUCCAGACUGUUGGCACCUAGGACUCACAUAAGAGUCUCUCCUCAGUUAAUUCAUCCCUCUUCAUGCAGGCUGAAGCCCUUAUAGGAUGAACAGUGUUUAACAAGACACACCAGAGAGCUCUCAAAACCUGUGUGCACCAGGCUGUGUGAGUACAGAGCAGGAAGAUAUGCCAAGAAGAGAGCCUUGAUGAGGGACUUCUAGUCUGUACAGUUGUGACAAAAUAAAUCCUCCCAUUUAAGCCUCCAAGUUACAGUGGCCUAAGCAGAUUAAUACCAUAUGUAGGUAAAGAUUCGUUUGACAAUUUAAUAGAUUGAAUAAAUAAAGAUGA